ACUCUUAUGUUUAUGCAUAUCGUUUUUUAACUAAUGGUAUCUUCUAGAAAUCAUUAAUGUCAGUUUACAUCUGACUUUCUGCUGCUCUUCCUCUCACAUUAUUCAUGUUUGAAAGGCUGUUCAUAGCAUUUGUCAGAGAAUGGCUCUUUACCUUCCCAGUGCCAUCUGUUUGGACUGUGCAAGCGGGGAGAUAUUCCUACUUUGCAGUCUCUUUACAAAGAACAGGCUGCAUCCACCAUUUGCAGCUCCUGCCAGGGCAAAGAAUAACAACCAAUUGGGGAAUACAUAAAACAAAUUGGAUGAUGCUUCAGAGAGCCUCUGUAGCCCAACAAGAAAGCAGAAAGCACCAGUUGGAAAAGCUAAACCUUCCAGGAGCAUCUUGCAGACAUGCAGACAGCUGGGCGAAUGGAGGGACUGUGAAGACAUUCCUCAGCUGCUUCAGCAAAAGCUUUGGUCAGGUCAGCUUCAGAACCACGGGAAGCAAUAACACCAGGAGGAGUGGCUGGAACAGGUGGGGAGCAGGAAGGAUGGGAUGAGGGGUCUCCAAUUGGCUGUUUCUGUGGUGGACUCUCCCCAUUGCUUUAGCUCUGGGCCCCCUGUACACGGAGAACAGCUGUGGAUGUGAUUUGUCUCACUUAAACUGAGGCACAGAAAAGGUAGAUGCUGCAAUCUAAAGGAUGUUUCUUUUGCAACGAAUGGAGAUACACCUCCAAAGAGCUCUUUGUCUAACUUCUUGUAGAUGGCUAUCUAAGGAUGAGAUGAUUGUCCCCUGUAUCUUUCCAUGGACUACAGAAGGAAACUAGACCUGGCCCUUAGCAGUUAGCUUUUUGAUUUGUAUUUUGGGACAGCUAAACCCACCAUAUAGAGAAGGCAGGACUAGAGAUGGAUGCAAAGAACAAUCACAGGCCUAAUGAUUUCUGAGAUGAAAGGGGUGAAUACAUGGAAUGCAUUUAUCUUUUCAGUAUCAGAGUGAACGUCCUGUAAAUUCUCAGCUCUGCAGGCACUGUGGUUGUCUGUGCAUUUGAUGCAAAGCAACCAGGUCGUUAGGUGAAGUUCUCUGGCAGAGCUGUGUGCUGGGCCUGCAGAACCCUCAUCUCUCUUUGAUUCAGUGGAGAAGUACUGCAUUCCCCCCUGAUUUGUGGGUGUGAUCUCAAAAAGCAAAACUGGAACAGCAGGAACACAUUCCCAGAAGUACAACAGUGUGAUGGGGCUGUUAUCACUUAGACCAGCUAGAGGGUGGUUUCUGAUCUAGCUCCAAAUGCCAUCCAUCUAAACCUGCAGAAAUUAACCUCUGCAUCUUUUGAGAUGUAUUCAAAUCUACAGGCCUGAAAAGAUGCCCUGCGUUUCCCCAUAUGUCAGAGUAGUGAGGUCAGCAUGAAUUCCAAGUCCUGAAGCCACAGAGCUGAAGUGCAAACUUGGAGCUUGGGCUGUGGAUUGUUUCAGUGAUUCUACUAAGUCUGGCUUACAAGGGUAUUACUUUAAUCUACCAAUGACUUCCUUGCAUAUACAUGUAAUAAUAUACAUCAUCCUGAGUUCCUGGUCAUGCAUACGGCUGCUCAGCUAUGCACAGCCACCUUAUCAGUCAGGCUUCAGUGGUGGUGACUCUGUUGAAAAAAUGGAAGCAAUGAUAAGGAAAAGGCAGUAGAAACUGGAAAUGCUGUUUGCUGCGAACAGUGCCCCAGCUGAGUCCAGGCCAGACUGGACCUGAGCUCACUGAAGGAUAAGGGUCUGACUUCUUUUCCACCUGGUUCUCUGGUGUUUCUGCAUUGCCGGCCAGGGUUGGUGAUCAGCACCUGGACGUGCAGCUAUGGCUGUAAUUCACAGAUGUUAUCUGGGUCCAAUGGAAUCAAGGGGCAGAGCCAGGUUCGAAGUGGAUGCCGUGGCUGAACAUCACGGCUCACUCAGCCGCCCAACAGAGACCAUCUGGAUCGGGUUCUGUUCGUCCACCUGAGACUGCCAUUCACAAGAUGGAUCUUGCAGACUUCAGCACAUCUACAGCAUCGGGAACACCAAACGAUGAUGGCCAGAAGGAAUAUUAGUAGGCUCUGUCCACUGAUUCCACAGCUGUACAAUAAAAUACCGGGUGGAGUCCCAUCACCUCUCGAUGUGAGGUCGAUAUGUGCCCUCUGAGGAAACACCUUCAAGCAGAACCUCACUUUCUGAUCUUCCUGAAGUCUCAGAAUCCAGAUUACGCACCAUCCCUAUGCGGAAUCAGGACAACCUCCCUCUGAGAAUUCAGAGCCUGCAGGAUGCUUAGUAGGACAUGCCUGGAAUUACACAGAUUAUGCCUCCUUGCAUGGGAGAAGUAGAAAAGUCACAGCAUGGGUUAAAAAUACGCUUGUCUUCUCUCAAUAAUUAAUUGUUUAGGGAUUAACAUGAGGUUUUGUGUUUUGAAAGUAAACUAAUCCACUCGUUGGCUGGUGUGUAAUGAAGGAGAACAGGCUACUGUCAAGCAGGCUGAAAACAGUGAAAAUUAACUACAAGUGCCACGACUCACAUAUUUUAUGUAUAUGAGUAAUGUAUUCUCUGUGGGACAGAAGAUGAAAAUAUCACACAGAAAAGAAAAACACAGUGGCUACAAAUUUAAUAAAACAAGCAGUCAUACUUAGCCUCGCAGUAUAGUCUGGCAUUUUUACUGCCUGAUGGUAUCAAGGUUGGGCCAGUGCAAGAGAAUUCAUGCUCGUGAACUCACAAGAAGCACAGACUUCACUUUCUGCAGCCUCUCUGCUUGCAGAGCUAGCAAAAGGGAAGGAAAAUACAACUAAAACCAAGAAAACACUGAAUUAAAAU
Molecule: long non-coding RNA, 2790 nt
Filed under: Gallus gallus (chicken)
Lineage: Eukaryota; Metazoa; Chordata; Aves; Galliformes; Phasianidae
Description: lncRNA (ENSGALG00010022861.1)
Source: RNAcentral